This 492-nucleotide ribosomal RNA is filed under the name uncultured bacterium. Its description in RNAcentral is "partial 16S ribosomal RNA". It matches the Rfam family "Bacterial small subunit ribosomal RNA", at positions 29 to 507 of the family's 1533-position model. The record is from RNAcentral.
AGUGAACGCUGGCGGUAGGCCUAACACAUGCAAGUCGAACGGCAGCACAGUAAGAGCUUGCUCUUACGGGUGGCGAGUGGCGGACGGGUGAGGAAUACAUCGGAAUCUACUUUUUCGUGGGGGAUAACGUAGGGAAACUUACGCUAAUACCGCAUACGACCUACGGGUGAAAGCAGGGGAUCUUCGGACCUUGCGCGAUUGAAUGAGCCGAUGUCGGAUUGGCUAGUUGGCGGGGUAAAGGCCCACCAAGGCGACGAUCCGUAGCUGGUCUGAGAGGAUGAUCAGCCACACUGGGACUGAGACACGGUCCAGACUCCUACGGGAGGCAGCAGUGGGGAAUAUUGGACAAUGGGCGCGAGCCUGAUCCAGCCAUACCGCGUGGGUGAAGAAGGCCUUCGGGUUGUAAAGCCCUUUUGUUGGGAAAGAAAAGCAGCAGGUUAAUACCCCGCUGUUCUGACGGUACCCAAAGAAUAAGCACCGGCUAACUUCGUG